UACGUAGGGACCAAGCGUUGUUCGGAUUUACUGGGCGUAAAGGGCGCGUAGGCGGCUUAACAAGUCACUUGUGAAAUCUCCGGGCUUAACUCGGAACGGCCAAGUGAAACUGUCAAGCUAGAGUGCAGAAGGGGCAAUCGGAAUUCUUGGUGUAGCGGUGAAAUGCGUAGAUAUCAAGAGGAACACCUGAGGUGAAAGACGGGUUGCUGGGCUGACACUGACGCUGAGGCGCGAAAGCCAGGGGAGCAAACGGG
RNAcentral lists this ribosomal RNA (254 nucleotides) under uncultured bacterium. Its description in RNAcentral is "partial 16S ribosomal RNA". It matches the Rfam family "Bacterial small subunit ribosomal RNA", at positions 524 to 776 of the family's 1533-position model. The record is from RNAcentral.